UACGUAGGGGGCAAGCGUUGUCCGGAUUUAUUGGGCGUAAAGCGCGUGUAGGCGGCCAUGCAGGUCAGCUGUGAAAACUCGAGGCUCAACCUCGAGACGUCGGUUGAAACCGUAUGGCUAGAGUCCGGAAGAGGAGAGUGGAAUUCCCGGUGUAGCGGUGAAAUGCGCAGAUAUCGGGAAGAACACCCGUGGCGAAGGCGGCUCUCUGGGACGGUACUGACGCUGAGACGCGAAAGCGUGGGGGAGCGAACAGG
Molecule: ribosomal RNA, 254 nt
Filed under: uncultured bacterium
Lineage: Bacteria
Description: partial 16S ribosomal RNA
Rfam family: Bacterial small subunit ribosomal RNA
Source: RNAcentral